This 358-nucleotide ribosomal RNA is filed under the name uncultured eukaryote. Its description in RNAcentral is "LSU rRNA". It matches the Rfam family "Bacterial large subunit ribosomal RNA", at positions 2122 to 2479 of the family's 2925-position model. The record is from RNAcentral.
UUCGGGCUUUAUUUGCGCAGGAUAGGUGGGAGGCUUUGAGAGUGUUUUUGAGGGAACAUUUGAGCCAUUGGUGAGAUACCACUCUUAUAAAGCUAGAAUUCUAACCUUAUACCGUUAGCCGGUUAAGGAACAGUCUCUGGUGGGCAGUUUGACUGGGGCGGUCGCCUCCUAAAAGGUAACGGAGGCGCACAAAGGUUUCCUCAGAUCGGUCAGAAAUCGAUCGUAGAGCGUAAAGGCAUAAGGAAGCUUGACUGCGAGACCUACAAGUCGAGCAGAGACGAAAGUCGGUCUUAGUGAUCUGACGGUUCCGAGUGGAAGGGCCGUCACUCAACGGAUAAAAGUUACUCUAGGGAUAACA